Molecule: ribosomal RNA, 492 nt
Filed under: uncultured bacterium
Lineage: Bacteria
Description: partial 16S ribosomal RNA
Rfam family: Bacterial small subunit ribosomal RNA
Source: RNAcentral
AGUGAACGCUGGCGGUAGGCCUAACACAUGCAAGUCGAGCGGCAGCACAGUAAGAGCUUGCUCUUACGGGUGGCGAGUGGCGGACGGGUGAGGAAUACAUCGGAAUCUACUUUUUCGUGGGGGAUAACGUAGGGAAACUUACGCUAAUACCGCAUACGACCUACGGGUGAAAGCAGGGGAUCUUCGGACCUUGCGCGAUUGAAUGAGCCGAUGUCGGAUUAGCUAGUUGGCGGGGUAAAGGCCCACCAAGGCGACGAUCCGUAGCUGGUCUGAGAGGAUGAUCAGCCACACUGGAACUGAGACACGGUCCAGACUCCUACGGGAGGAAGCAGUGGGGAAUAUUGGACAAUGGGCGCAAGCCUGAUCCAGCCAUACCGCGUGGGUGAAGAAGGCCUUCGGGUUGUAAAGCCCUUUUGUUGGGAAAGAAAAGCAGCAGGUUAAUACCCCGCUGUUCUGACGGUACCCAAAGAAUAAGCACCGGCUAACUUCGUG